AAAGUCCCGGCUAACUACGUGCCAGCAGCAGCGGUGAAACGUAGGGGGUAAGCGUUAUCCGGAUUUAUUGGGCGUAAAGAGUGUGCAGGCGGUCAGGUAAGUUCUCCGUUAAAGCCCAAGGCUCAACCUUGGAACUGCGGGGAAUACUGCUUGACUUGAGGAAGGUAGGGGCUGUCGGAACUUGGAGAGGAGGGGUGAAAUCCUAUGAUCCUCCAAGGAACACCAAAGGCGAAGGCAGACGGCUGGGCCUUUCCUGACGCUGAGGCACGAAAGCUAGGGGAGCGAAACGGAUUAGAUACCCGUGUAGUCCUAGCUGUAAACGAUCCCCGCUAGAUUUCGGCGUUUGCCGGAGUCGAAGCUAACGCAUUAAGCGGGGCGCCUGGGGAGUAC
Molecule: ribosomal RNA, 390 nt
Filed under: uncultured bacterium
Lineage: Bacteria
Description: bacterial SSU rRNA
Rfam family: Bacterial small subunit ribosomal RNA
Source: RNAcentral